AACGCACAUUGCACUCUGUUUGCGCAGAGUAUGCCUGUUUGAGAAUCUAUAGUAUUCUUUUUUCCAAUUUUUAUUUGUUUAAAUUUUGGGAAAGUUUUGCGGAUUUUGGGUAAAAACCAAUUCUGUUAAAUCUAUAGUCAUUGUUUUUAUAGUAAAAUGUUUGAAGUUUCUAUAAAAAACUUUGCAGAAAUGUAUUUGAAUGAACCUACCAGUUCUCCCUAUACAAAUUAAGCAAAGAGAAAUUAGUUUUCUAUUAAAAAAAAUGCUCAUAACCAUAUAUUAAAAGAAAGAAAUUUUUUUUGAACCAUGGUCUCAAAUCAGGUAGGAUUACCCGCUGAACUUAA
Molecule: unclassified non-coding RNA, 344 nt
Filed under: uncultured fungus
Lineage: Eukaryota; Fungi
Description: partial contains 5.8S ribosomal RNA, internal transcribed spacer 2, and large subunit ribosomal RNA
Source: RNAcentral